Non-coding RNA from Vicia faba (fava bean), 183 nucleotides. NCBI's taxonomy places the organism in Eukaryota, Viridiplantae, Streptophyta, Magnoliopsida, Fabales, Fabaceae. The record is from the annotation of a GenBank genome assembly.
AUGCUUGAUUUAUCACAACCUUAUAUAUAUAUAUAUAUUCUGAAAAUUGCUAUAACUGGUAAAUGUUAUAAAACGUUAGAGAAAAACCAAAAAAAAAUUACACAGAAAAAUAAAACUCAACAAACCUGCUUCAAACAACGUUCUUCAUUCCACCUCACUUUCAAUUCCAACUAUCGUCUAUAA